This 429-nucleotide ribosomal RNA is filed under the name Bacteroidota bacterium. RNAcentral describes it as "Bacteroidetes bacterium partial 16S ribosomal RNA". It matches the Rfam family "Bacterial small subunit ribosomal RNA", at positions 355 to 776 of the family's 1533-position model. The record is from RNAcentral. Lineage: Bacteria; Pseudomonadati; Bacteroidota.
UAGGGAAUCUUCGGCAAUGGGGGGAACCCUGACCGAGCAACGCCGCGUGAGUGAAGAAGGUUUUCGGAUCGUAAAGCUCUGUUGUUAAGGAAGAACGAGUGUGAGAAUGGAAAGUUCAUGCUGUGACGGUACUUAACCAGAAAGGGACGGCUAACUACGUGCCAACAGCCGCGGUAAUACGUAGGUCCCGAGCGUUGUCCGGAUUUAUUGGGCGUAAAGCGAGCGCAGGCGGUUAGAUAAGUCUGAAGUUAAAGGCAGUGGCUCAACCAUUGUAGGCUUUGGAAACUGUUUAACUUGAGUGCAGAAGGGGAGAGUGGAAUUCCAUGUGUAGCGGUGAAAUGCGUAGAUAUAUGGAGGAACACCGGUGGCGAAAGCGGCUCUCUGGUCUGUAACUGACGCUGAGGCUCGAAAGCGUGGGGAGCGAACAGG